AUGGUCAGCGGUCACUGUAUGUAAAAUAGAUGUAAAACUGCUACUUCCGCGCUAUUUUCUCCGCACUGUUUAUCCAUGUGUUUAUCUUAUGAUUUAUCGCUAUGUUUUGUUCAAAUUGUGGACGAUCAUGUGGGGAUUCGGAUAGAUUCUGUACAAAUUGUGGUACAACUAGUCUUUAGCAAGAGGGACGAGCCCCCCAGCAAUACACCCCUGGAUAAUGCAUUCAGUGCACCAAGUACAAAUUACAUAUUCUAGCUCAAGGAGGACCAGCUCUGAAAUGUUUGGACGACAGUGUCUUUAAUCUAAUGGCGGAAGCUCAGAAUUUGCGUCCUCGGCAAUUUGAUACUUACAAUCAUUUAACACCGUCUGACAAGAAGAUGGCAGCUCAAUGAAGCAAGUAGAAGAGGCUAUUAUGGAUCACUUGCAAGACUUCCUGUUUAAGAUUGAAGAUGAUAAAACCUUAUUAGGAUUCCCUGAAGCAAUUUCGUUCAACCACAGUGAAGAUGAGGAUGAUGUCUCAAAGCAAUUCAAAGGUGAUGAUAUUUUUCAAGCACCUGAUCUCUCCCCUGCAGGAAUUAUGGGGUGGUUGACUGGACAGAAACAUAAGCCACUAAAUGGUGAACUUAUUUCUAUAACAGUUAGAUUUGAUCAUGAUUGCACAAAAAGGAAUCCGCAGCACAAAAUAUGCUUCCCCCAAGUGGGUGCAUGUGCUAAGGUUCUUACAUUACCUGUGCUGCACAUGAAAACUGCAAAGGAGUUUGAAGAACUAUUUCUAAUGGCAUUUUCCAAAGGCCAGUCUUUUGGUAAGGCAUAGAUACCAUCAUUUAUAAGAAUGAAUGUACCUUGUAUUUUUAUCAAUCUUUUGUUAUUAGUGAUUAUGUUUAUGUUUCACUUUGACUCAGCUGUUGCUUUUAGAAAUUGUUUUGAUUUAUGAACAGUCUUUUGCUUACAGUCAUAGAAAUUAGAUCUUAUACUAAAGAGGCAUACUUAUUAUAGAAUCCAUUAAUUCAUAGUUCUGUUAGUUCAUAUUUUUGGUUUAUUUUGACAAGAUUAAACAUUUAUCAU
Long non-coding RNA from Xenia sp. Carnegie-2017, 1065 nucleotides. RefSeq lists it as uncharacterized. Lineage: Eukaryota; Metazoa; Cnidaria; Anthozoa; Malacalcyonacea; Xeniidae. The record is from RefSeq and is a predicted model, not a curated record. The transcript has 3 exons.